RNAcentral lists this ribosomal RNA (429 nucleotides) under Actinomycetes bacterium. Its description in RNAcentral is "Actinobacteria bacterium partial 16S ribosomal RNA". It matches the Rfam family "Bacterial small subunit ribosomal RNA", at positions 355 to 776 of the family's 1533-position model. The record is from RNAcentral. Lineage: Bacteria; Bacillati; Actinomycetota; Actinomycetes.
UAGGGAAUCUUCCGCAAUGGGCGAAAGCCUGACGGAGCAACGCCGCGUGAGUGAUGAAGGUCUUCGGAUCGUAAAACUCUGUUAUUAGGGAAGAACAAAUGUGUAAGUAACUAUGCACGUCUUGACGUUACCUAAUCAGAAAGCCACGGCUAACUACGUGCCAGCAGCCGCGGUAAUACGUAGGUGGCAAGCGUUAUCCGGAAUUAUUGGGCGUAAAGCGCGCGUAGGCGGUUUUUUAAGUCUGAUGUGAAAGCCCACGGCUCAACCGUAGAGGGUCAUUGGAAACUGGAAAACUUGAGUGCAGAAGAGGAAAGUGGAAUUCCAUGUGUAGCGGUGAAAUGCGCAGAGAUAUGGGGGAACACCAGUGGCGAAGGCGACUUUCUGGUCUGUAACUGACGCUGAUGUGCGAAAGCGUGGGGAUCAAACAGG